RNAcentral lists this transfer RNA (74 nucleotides) under Bos taurus (domestic cattle). It matches the Rfam family "tRNA". From Rfam's summary of the family: Transfer RNA (tRNA) molecules are approximately 80 nucleotides in length. Their secondary structure includes four short double-helical elements and three loops (D, anti-codon, and T loops). Further hydrogen bonds mediate the characteristic L-shaped molecular structure. tRNAs have two regions of fundamental functional importance: the anti-codon, which is responsible for specific mRNA codon recognition, and the 3' end, to which the tRNAs corresponding amino acid is attached (by aminoacyl-tRNA synthetases). tRNAs cope with the degeneracy of the genetic code in two manners: having more than one tRNA (with a specific anti-codon) for a particular amino acid; and 'wobble' base-pairing, i.e. permitting non-standard base-pairing at the 3rd anti-codon position. RNAcentral also lists the same sequence under 4 other names. The record is from Rfam by way of RNAcentral. Lineage: Eukaryota; Metazoa; Chordata; Mammalia; Artiodactyla; Bovidae.
UCCCUGGUGGUCCAGUGGGCUAAGACUCUGCCCUCCCAAUACAGGGGUCCCAGGUUCGAUCCCUUGUCAGGGAA